This is a transfer RNA of Limnothrix sp. P13C2, 72 nucleotides long. It matches the Rfam family "tRNA". Rfam says of the family: Transfer RNA (tRNA) molecules are approximately 80 nucleotides in length. Their secondary structure includes four short double-helical elements and three loops (D, anti-codon, and T loops). The record is from Rfam. NCBI's taxonomy places the organism in Bacteria, Bacillati, Cyanobacteriota, Cyanophyceae, Pseudanabaenales, Pseudanabaenaceae.
UCCUCAGUAGCUCAGCGGUAGAGCGGUCGACUGUUAAUCGAUUGGUCACAGGUUCGAAUCCUGUCUGGGGAG